Molecule: small RNA, 420 nt
Filed under: Pan troglodytes (chimpanzee)
Lineage: Eukaryota; Metazoa; Chordata; Mammalia; Primates; Hominidae
Description: processed transcript
Source: RNAcentral
UCUGAACAACAUGGGAUUUCCCAGUGCUAUGUUGCCAUCUCCACCGAAACAGAAGUCCAGCCCUGUGAAUAACCACCACAGCCCGGAUUCAACCCCGAUGGGGAAGAGGAAGAUGUUACAGUACAAGAAUGACUUUCUCUUGAUUGUUGAAAAAUUAUUACCUGUGGAAUGACUAGGAAUAUUGGAAGCAGCAUAGUGUUGACCCAUGCUGUGACCUACAAGCAAACUAAAUAGCCAACAUUUCUGAACCCCUAUGCCUCCUGUGCCAAGCUGCUCCCUGAAAUGGACUCCUUCAUCUGUACAGAUUUGUUAAACCAUUCUAUUUGCUUCUUAAUAAUAGGAUUUAUAUUAGUACUCAUUACCAUUGGACACAAUGACAUAAGUACUCUCCACAGUAAAGCAGACCUUUCACAACAGUCA